CACGUAGGGGGCGAGCGUUGUCCGGAUUUAUUGGGCGUAAAGAGUUCGUAGGCGGCUAAGUAAGUCGGGUGUGAAAACUCCAGGCUCAACCUGGAGACGCCACCCGAUACUGCUUUGGCUAGAGUCCGGUAGGGGAGCAUGGAAUUCCUGGUGUAGCGGUGAAAUGCGCAGAUAUCAGGAGGAACACCAGUGGCGACGGCGGUGCUCUGGGCCGGUACUGACGCUGAGGAGCGAAAGCGUGGGGAGCAAACAGG
This 254-nucleotide ribosomal RNA is filed under the name uncultured bacterium. RNAcentral's name for it is "partial 16S ribosomal RNA". It matches the Rfam family "Bacterial small subunit ribosomal RNA", at positions 524 to 776 of the family's 1533-position model. The record is from RNAcentral.